AAUCCCAUGAGAAAAUCCCGCGAGAAAGGGCUGUCGGCACGUGCGCUUGCGACAGACGCAAGACGUGCACACAAUACGCACGUCCCAUCCACACGCGGCGCGGAGGUCAGACCUGCGUGCAUGUCUUGUCGCGCACAGGCAGGCCUGUCUGCGCGUGUCACAUCAUGCUCGGACAUGGUAAGCGUCGCACACUGUGCGCAUAUCAUCCGCGCAACAGACUU
This 221-nucleotide long non-coding RNA is filed under the name Carica papaya (papaya). Its description in RNAcentral is "long non-coding RNA (CPAP_LNC015940)". The record is from RNAcentral. Lineage: Eukaryota; Viridiplantae; Streptophyta; Magnoliopsida; Brassicales; Caricaceae.